Molecule: ribosomal RNA, 1680 nt
Filed under: uncultured Sebacinales
Lineage: Eukaryota; Fungi; Basidiomycota; Agaricomycetes; Sebacinales
Description: eukaryotic LSU rRNA
Source: RNAcentral
AAGUCGUAACAAGGUUUCCGUAGCACCGUCUACAAAGAACAGCAAUGUUCCUUCUGCAGAGUACACUUGCCGAAGCCUUAGUGGCCCGAAAGGGUGCAGCCAGUGACUCUAAACAAGUAGGAUGCUUAAUCGCUAGUCUCCCAGGAGGCAACACUAUCAAAUUGCGGGAACAUCCUGUCAAGUCUUCACUACCGCGGCUCACCGAAAGGUUGAGUGCAGCACCAGGGUAAUGACCUCGGGGAAGGUAACAAUGUGAAGAAUAGGGACAAUCCGCAGCCAAGCCCUACGUUCCCUCAUUGGGAAUAAGGGUGCUGUUCACAGGCCAAAUGGUAGUGGGCACCUUAUGAGUGCUUAAGAUAUGGUCGAGUCCCACAUGAGAGUGUGGGUACAAGUACUCUUUUAGCUUAUAAUGCAAAUGUUCCGUAGGUGAACCUGCGGAAGGAUCAUUAAUGAAUUAAAAGUCGGCCGUCUGUGCUGGUGGCAACACAUGUGCACGCCGGUCGCAAAUCCACACACCUGUGCACUUUAGACUUUGGGAUUCGCAUUCACGUGCAGUCGGUCUCCUUUGGGAGACUUGAAUUCCAGGGUAUUUUACACACACCCUGAAUGUAAUGGAAUGUACCUGUGCUUAACCGCGCAUUUAAUACAACUUUCAACAACGGAUCUCUUGGCUCUCGCAUCGAUGAAGAACGCAGCGAAAUGCGAUAAGUAAUGUGAAUUGCAGAAUUCAGUGAAUCAUCGAAUCUUUGAACGCACCUUGCACCCUUUGGUAUUCCGAAGGGUACACCCGUUUGAGUGUCAUUGUAAUCUCACACCCUCAGACUUUUGUUGAAAGGGAGGUGGACUUGGAYGYUGUCGUGUCACUACGRCUCGUCUCAAAUGCAUGAGUGUACCCUGCRUCCGCAGYGUAUUCGGUGUGAUAAGCAUCUUCACCGGAGUAGUGCCYUYGGGCUCGCGCUUGCAAAUGUUGGGCUCUGYACUUCAAACCGUCUUCGGACAACAACUGACAAUUUGACCUCAAAUCGGGUGGGACUACCCGCUGAACUUAAGCAUAUCAAUAAGCGGAGGAAAAGAAACUAACAAGGAUUCCCCUAGUAACGGCGAGUGAAGAGGGAAAAGCUCAAAUUUUAAAUCUGGCGUCUUCGGCGUCCGAGUUGUAAUCUAGAGAAGUGUUUUCCGUGUCGGACCRUGCAAAAGUUCCCUGGAACGGGGCGUCAUAGAGGGUGAGAAUCCCGUAUAUGGCAYGGACUCCCGAUGCUCUAUGAUACACUCUCGACGAGUCGAGUUGUUUGGGAAUGCAGCUCAAAAUGGGUGGUAAAUUCCAUCUAAAGCUAAAUAUUGGCGAGAGACCGAUAGCGAACAAGUACCGUGAGGGAAAGAUGAAAAGCACUUUGGAAAGAGAGUGAAACAGUACGUGAAAUUGUUGGAAGGGAAGCGUUUGAAGUCAGUCACGCUUGUCGGAACUCAGCCUGGCUUCUGCCUGGUGUACUUUCUGGYGAGYGGGUCAGCGUCAGUUUUGGUCGAGGGAGAAAGGCAUUGGGAAUGUGGCAGUCUUCGGGCUGUGUUAUAGCCCUUUGUUGUAUGCCUCGACUGGGAUUGAGGACUGCAGCGCGCCUUUAUGGCCGGGGUUCGCGCCCUCGGUACGCGCUUAGGAUGCUGGCAUAAUGGCUUUAAGCGACC